CACAAUCAAAAGUUAUUAGACAAAGUAAGGAUGAUAUAUUCCUAGGUUAACAAAAGACACAGUUUUUCGUCAUCAAAGUUUUGAUAAUUUUCAUCUUAUUAUUCAUUGAGAGAGUUGAUCUAUGGGGAUGCCACUGUCUUGUAGGUAUGUAAAUUGCCACUCAUGUUCACCCAGGGCCACUGAACCACGAAUGAGGAAUUCAACUUCAGAUGUCUUUGCAAAAUUAAAGGUCAUAAAAAUGACAAGUUCACUUUAAC
Molecule: non-coding RNA, 257 nt
Organism: Pelobates cultripes (western spadefoot toad)
Lineage: Eukaryota; Metazoa; Chordata; Amphibia; Anura; Pelobatidae
Source: the annotation of a GenBank genome assembly